GACGAACGCUGGCGGCGUGCUUAACACAUGCAAGUCGAACGGCAAGGCCCUGCUUUUGUGGGGUGCUCGAGUGGCGAACGGGUGAGUAACACGUGAGUAACCUGCCCUUGACUUUGGGAUAACUUCAGGAAACUGGGGCUAAUACCGGAUAGGAGCUCCUGCUGCAUGGUGGGGGUUGGAACGUUUCGGCGGUUGGGGAUGGACUCGCGGCUUAUCAGCUUGUUGGUGGGGUAGUGGCUUACCAAGUCUUUGACGGGUAGCCGGCCUGGGAGGGUGACCGGCGACAAUGGUCCUGAGAGACGGCGCAGUCGCGAACGGGAGGCAGUAGGGGGGAAUAUUGCACAAUGGGCGGAAGCCUGAUGCAGCAACGCCGCGUGCGUGAUGACGGCCUUCGGGGUGUAAACCGCUGUCGCCUGUGACGAAGCGUGAGUGACGGUAAUGAGUAAAGAAGCACCGGCUAACUACGUG
Molecule: ribosomal RNA, 468 nt
Filed under: uncultured bacterium
Lineage: Bacteria
Description: partial 16S ribosomal RNA
Rfam family: Bacterial small subunit ribosomal RNA
Source: RNAcentral